This 77-nucleotide transfer RNA is filed under the name Betaproteobacteria bacterium. RNAcentral's name for it is "tRNA-Pro". It matches the Rfam family "tRNA". From Rfam's summary of the family: Transfer RNA (tRNA) molecules are approximately 80 nucleotides in length. RNAcentral also lists the same sequence under 4 other names. The record is from RNAcentral. Lineage: Bacteria; Pseudomonadati; Pseudomonadota; Betaproteobacteria.
CGGGGUAUAGCGCAGUCUGGUAGCGCGCCUGCUUUGGGAGCAGGAUGUCGGGAGUUCGAAUCUCUCCACCCCGACCA